Molecule: small nuclear RNA, 104 nt
Filed under: Nannospalax galili (Upper Galilee mountains blind mole rat)
Lineage: Eukaryota; Metazoa; Chordata; Mammalia; Rodentia; Spalacidae
Description: U1 spliceosomal RNA (ENSNGAG00000003754.1)
Source: RNAcentral
GGCAAACAAUAAUAAAUAAUUAAGGUGGUUUUCCCAGAGUGAGGCUCAUCCAUUGCACUUGGGAUGUGCUGACCCUGUGAUUUCCCCAAAUUUGGGAAACUUGA